Molecule: small nucleolar RNA, 77 nt
Organism: Esox lucius (northern pike)
Lineage: Eukaryota; Metazoa; Chordata; Actinopteri; Esociformes; Esocidae
Product: small nucleolar RNA SNORD99
Source: Ensembl
UCUGAUCAAUGAUUGAUAACAAAACUUGAAAUUGUGACUGUUGGAUGAAACAUGCGGAUAUGGGACUGAGAUCAGGA